GCCCGAGCUCCGGGGCUCUCAGCUCGGACCCGCUGUGCCGGGGUCCCUGAGGGUCCAAGCUCCACCUUGUAAUAAAGGCUCUUUUGUCUUUGCAUCGGACUCGGCUCCCUGGUGGUCUUCGGGGACAACGCAAUCGGGCCACAACAUUUGGGGGCCGUCCGGGAUCCCCAAGACCCUGAGGACCUGAUCCGAAGGGCCAGUAAGUGUUCAUUGUGCUGCGGCCUCGUGUGUCGGAGUGUUUUGGAACAGGCCUAAUCUGUACUUUGUGGGGUCGGCGUGUCCAGGCGGACUCGCUGGAGGCUAGCUGACCCAGUGCGGGAAGACGUUCAGGCUCCUUCUGGAAGGGAUUUGAUCCCUCCGGACUGGGUCGGGCGUGGUGAGGACGUCAUUCCUUUUGUGUUUCUUUUGACCGGACGGUUAAGAGUCCGUGGUCCCGGUUUGCUUCCGCGGACUGUCUGCUUGGUGUGUCUUUUGUGUUUCGUUGGUGUUUUAGUGUGGUUAGCUGUUAUGGGGCGACUUUGACCGACACCAUGGGACAGAAACAAACAACCCCCCUCUCCCUCUUCUUUGAUCAUUUUUCAGAGGUUAAGGCUAGAGCCCAGGACUUAGGGCUCGUGGUGAAAAGAACUAAAUUGAUUACAUUUUGCAGGAAUGAGUGGCCUUCUUACAACGUGGGCUGGCCUCCAGAAGAACUUUCCACCUCCCUAUUAUUUUUCAGGUCAAAGACAUCGUGUACCAACCCGGGACUGGUCACCCUGACCAGGUCCCGUAUAUCACCACCUGGCAGGACCUGGUGGAGGAUCCCCCUUCUUGGCUGAAAGCAAUUCUGCCUCCAUCCCAGGCAGAUAAACAGCCAAGCAGCUCAGUUCUCACGCUGAGUGAGAAGCCCCCUCUGGAGAAACCCUUUAAACCCUCUGCACGGCUUUAUCCUGUUUUGCAGGACAGUGUAGAUCAAAACCUGCUCUGCCCUCCUCCAUAUCAUCCCCCCACCAGACCACCGCAGGUGCUGUUUACCACUGAGGAAAAGGAAAGGAUCCUGUUGGAAGCCCAGAAAUCCAUUGAGGGCCCGGCCGGGGAGAUCACUUCGAACCCAGUGUUGAUUAAUGCUGCCUUUCCCCUCACUCGCCCCGAUUGGGAUUUUAACUCGGAUGCUGGUAAGGUGAGUCUCCAGGUCUACCGCCAGACUCUGAUGAGGGGGUCUCAGGAAAGCGGCUCAGAAGUCGACCAAUUUGGCUAAGGUAGGGAAUGUUCAACAGGAUAAGAAUGAGUCCCCCGCUGCUUUUUUAGAAAAGGAGACAUUCCGCAUGGAGGCAUUCCGCACCUAUACGCCCAUGGAUCCUGAAGCGGAGGACAAUAAAGCUGCAGUAAUAAUGGCUUUUGUUAACCAAUCAGCCCCUGACAUAAAGAGAAAGCUCCAAAGAGUAGGCAGAUUGGCUGAAAAGUCUCUGCAGGAUCUACUUGCUGUGGCAGAGAAAGUGUAUAAUAAUAGAGAGACCCUUGAGGAGAAGCAAACCCAGGCACAAGCCAAACUAACACAGGACCUGGCCAAGAUUCUACUUGCCAUCACAGCCAACUCCCCUGGGGAGCGGAGACAGCAACUAAAAUACCUGGCCAACGGUGGAGCUAAGGAGCAGCCCUGGGGAGGCCGUCAAAGGUUGCAGAGGGACCAAUGUGCCUACUGUAAAGAAAUUGGACACUGGGCUCGAGAGUGCCCUGAGAGAAAGGCAGGCAAGUCUACUCCCCCUGGUAAGACUCAUAUUUUAGAAAGGGGGGAGCUGAGUGAUUAAAGAGGUCAAGGUUUGGCACCCCUCCCUGAACCCAGGGUAACCCUCAAAGUGGAGGGAACUCCAAUAGACUUCUUGGUUGACAUGGGCGCCCAACACUCAGUUCUUGUUGCAGAUCAUGAUACAUUAUCCACCAAAAAAUCUUGGGUGCAGGGGGCAACUGGAAUGAAACAGUACUCAUGGACUACCCGAAGAACUGUAGAUUUAGGUACAGGCCUGGUAUCCCACGCAUUUAUGGUCAUCCCAGACGGUCCAUACCCAUUACUGGGCAGGGAUCUUCUAAAUAAAAUUGGAGCCUAGAUUUCCUUCAAACAGGAAGGACCCCAGGUCACAGAUAACCGAGGGCGCCCUAUACAAGUUCUAACUAUUUGACUAGAAGAUGAAUACAGACUCCACCAACAACCCCACCAGGCCCAACCUGACAUCUCCACUUGGCUCCACUCCCACCCAUUGGCAUGGGCAGAAACGGGAGGAGUAGGAUUGGCUGCUCACCGGCCCCCGAUUAUAGUAGAACUCAAACCCGGAGCAGUUCCCAUUUGGGUAAAACAAUACCCCAUUACUGCGGAGGCAAAGAAAGGGAUACUCCCACACAUAAGACGCCUCCUCGAGGCAGGAAUUUUAAUCCCUUGCCAGUCAACAUGGAAUACCCCCUUGCUACCUGUCAAGAAACCCCUCACCAAUGAUUACCGUCCAGUGCAAGACUUAUGGGAGGUCAACAAACAGGUAAUGGAUAUACACACUACUGUGCCCAAUUCGUAUAUGCUCUUGAGUGCUCUGGCUCCAACUCAGACAUGGUACACAGUGUUGAACUUAAAAGAUGCUUUUUUCAGCCUGUCUGUAGCCCCACAGAGCCAAGCCAUGUUUGCCUUCGAGUGGAGUAACCCGGAGAGUGGCAUCAGUGGACAAUUGACCUGGACCCACCUACGGCAAGGCUUCAAAAACUCUCCCACUAUCUUUGAUGAGGCCCUACAUGAGGACUUGGGAGUUUUAAAGCAACCUCCAGACCGAUGGAUGAGCAAUGCCCGUCAGAGUCUGCUGCUGAACCCACUAUCAGAGUCUGCUGCUGAACCCACCCCGAAUCCGGUUCCUACCUAGCUCUACCCUGAACCCUACCACUCUCUUGCCCAACCUGGAAGCAGAAACGCCGAUCCAUGAUUGCCAGGAUAUCUUGGCCCAGGUUCACAGCCUCCGCCAGGACCUGACCAACCAGCCACUACCUGAUGCCGAGGAAACCUGGUUCACGGAUGGCAGUAGCUUCAUGAAAGAUGGACACAGGUAUGCAGGAGCGGCAGUGGUCUCCGAAACAGAAACUUUAUGGGCAGAACCGCUCCCGAGCAGCACCUCUGCCCAACGGGCGGCGCUCAUCGCCCUCACCAAAGCUCUAGUCCUAGGAAAAGAAAAGAAGAUCAAUGUCUACACUGAUAGCUGCUACGCGUUUGCCAUGGCCCAUGUCCAUGGAGCCGUCUACCAGGAGAGGGGGCUAUUGACAGCAGAAGGAAAAACAGUCAAAAAUAAACAAGAAAUACUGGAUCUCCUGGCCGCUAUCUGGCUGCCAAGAAAAUUAGCCAUCAUUUAUUGCCCAGGGCACCAGAAGCCAGUUACCGCAGUGGCCAGAGGUAAUCACCGGGUGAACGAGGCCGCCAGGGGGGCAGCCCUCAGUGCAGCCCAGGCCCUUACCAUCAGCCUACCAGAUCCUGGGCAGCCAAUCCUGCCCGAAAAACCUGAGUACACCCCAGACGACCUGGCCUGGCUCCGUUCUAAUCCCCAAGCGCAUAGUCCUCUGCAACAUAACGGCUGGUGACGUACCGCCAACGGAAAGACCAUCCUCCUGGCACAAUAAGGGGUGGAAGUGCUGCGGCGCAUGCAUCAGGCCACCCAUAUGGGCAACAGGAGACUAAAAGACUUAGUCCGCCAUGCAAAGAUCAAAAUUGAACGACUGGACACUAAAGUUGAUCAGGUAAUCAAUGCCUGCAAGGCUUGUCAGCUCACCAACACCAGGGCUGGGCCAACUGCCCAGGGAAAUCGUGAACAGGGAAAUGAACCAGGUGCAUAUUGGGAAGUAGAUUUUACAGAAGUUAAACCAGGACGAUAUGGGUAUAAAUACCUUUUAGUUUUUAUAGAUACUUUUUCCGGGUGUGUUGAGGCCUUCCCUACGAAACAUGAGACUGCCCAGAUGGUGCUGAAAAAACUACUGGAAGACAUCCUCCCCAGAUAUGGACUGCCAGCUCUGAUUGGCUCAGACAAUGGCCCUGCCUUUGUAUCUCGGGUAACAAGGGGUAGCCACAGCCCUGGGAGCAACCUGGAAAUUACAUUGCGCUUACAGGCCUCAGAGCUCAGGUCACGUAGAAAGAAUGAACAGAACCUUAAAGGAGACCUUGACCAAAUUAACUCUUGAGUCUGGCGGGGACUGGGUGGCUCUCUUCCCGUUUGCUUUGUAUCGGGUUAGAAAUUCUCUUUAUAAGCUCAGACUCACUCCUUAUGAAAUACUCUAUGGAAGACUGCCUCCCAUUAUCCCCAACAUCUGCAUAGAAAUGUUAACUGAAGCAGAUGAUGAAAAUUUCCUUCUUUCCCUUCAGUGUUAUCAGCAGGCACAAAAGGAGAGUUGGAACUGCCUGCAGGCUACUUAUGAAGCAGGCCCCACAUCUGACCCCCACAAGUUCCAGCCUGGCAAUUGGGUAUAUGUGAAGAGACACCUCCGGGAGACGCUUGAGCCCUGGUGGAAAGGACCCUACGUUGUAGUCCUGACGUUGCUGACCGCCCUCAAAGUGGACGGUGUUGCCUCCUGGGUGCAUCAUACCCAUGCCAAGCUUGCAGACCCCUUCACCAUCCAGAAAGAUUUCAUCCUGUAAUGGAAACUUCAGCGGGACCAGGACAAUCCAUUGAAACUCAAGCUCCGCCAUGUGCCACCUGCUGUUUAGCGCUCCUACUAAUUGUAUGUACUCCUAUCUGGGGCUGAGUUCAGAAUCCACACCAAGCUUACAAUGUUACUUGGCAAAUAUGGGGAGGGCUUCCAGGAGGGCAGAAAGUACUAAACCAAACCUGGGGGUUACACCCCAAGAACACUUGGUAUCCGGAAUUAUAUAUAGAAUUAGACUUGCUGAUAGACCUCACUGCAAACAGUUGGACACCGAGACACAGUUCUUAUUAUGUAUGCCCUGGCUAUAGAAUUGGUAAGUGCGGAGGAGUAGACCAUGUCUUCUGCCAAUCUUGGAAUUGUGUCUCCGCUGGUAACAUCUGGUGGAUUCCCCCAAACAAAGGUGACCUCAUCACCAUGAAGCAUGGGACGGCCCCACGUGGCUGCCAGCACACAGGGAUAAGAGGACAUAAUUGGCUAUGCAAACCUGUGUCAAUCCAAUUCACCUUGCAGGGGAAGAACAGUCUAGUCACACGGGAAUGGGGUAAGACAUGGGGAAUCCGGUUGUUCGACCUGGUGCGUUUCCCUUAUGCCACAGACAAAGGUGGGUUUUUCCAAAUACGAGUUGUCCAUGAGCCAGUUCAAAACCCAAAGGCCAUAGGACCCAAUCUGAUUCUCCAGCCAUCAUUGAAUUCCCUCCCCGGCAUAGAAACCUCGGGGGUUUCUAAUGAGGCCCAACGCGGCAGCGCCUAAUUCGGCUGAGAAUUAUCCCGGGUACUCAGAUCCUAUCUGGGAUCUGCUGACCAGCACUUACCAAGUGCUCAACAAGUCCUGACCGGAUUUAACUGAUGCAUGUUGGCUCUGUUUUGAUGCUAAACAGCCUUAUUUCGAAGGGAUUGCCAUCAAGGGUCAUUAUACUCCUGGAGAAGCCAACGCAUGCCGCUGGCAGAAGCAACGCCCAGGUUUCACCUUGCAGGCUGUGACAGGUCAGGGAACUUGUAUGGGAAGAAUCCCCACCUCUCACCAACAUCUGUGUCAGGAGACUGUUUUGUGGAACGGGACUACAAUGCCCACAGAUGCCUGGUGGGCUUGCUCCACAGGUUUGGUUCCAGGCAUACACUCAGGAGUUAUAAACGCAACCAAAGAUUAUUGUGUUCUUGUGCAACUAAUACCGAAAUUAAUUUACCAUAAUCAAGAGGCGGUGCUCUGUAGAUAUGAGGAAACAACCCCCUGACAGAAACGGGAGCCUGUUACCGCCAUCACAGUCUUGGUUUUGCCAAGCCCAGGAUUAGCUGGAGCAAGUACCGGGGUAUCUGCUUUAAUCCUCCAGGAUAAAAAUUAUGGAGCCUCAGAAUGGCCAUUGACCUUGAUAUAGAAAGAAUAGAAAAAGUCCAUAACAUUACUCCAAGAUUCUCUGACUUCCCUCUCGGAGGUCGUACUACAAAACCGAAGAGGAUUAGAUUUAUUAUUUUUACAGCAAGGGGGACUAGUGCAGCUCUAGGUGAAGAGUGCUGCUUCUAUGCAGACCACUCUGGUGUGGUCAAAGAAUCUAUGGCUCUGGUGCGGGAAAGUUUGCAUAAACGUAAACUAGAGAGAGAAAGCAAGCAGAGUUGGUAUGAAUCCUUCUUCAACUGGUCUCCCUGGUUAACCACCCUGAUCUCAGCCCUAGCCAGACCUCUGGUCAUACCGUUAUUACUAUUGACCAUAGGGCCAUGUAUUAUUAACAGAAUAAUUACCUUUGUCAGAGAACGAAUAGGAGCAGUCCAGCUACUAGUCCUACAAAGCCAGUACUGGCCCCUGGUUUCUGAUGAAUUAGCGCUAGCUCCGGUCCCAUGAUUGGGCCCCAACAGUAAUUUUAGAUUUAGUAAAUUUAGCUGUCAUUUUAGAUUUAAGUUUCACUUUCCUGUAAGCCUGCAAUUUCCCCGAAAUCAGCAGGACAGCACUGGCCCAAUCAGGCCACCACACACCCUCCCCUUCGCCCAACUUUCGUUAUAAAAAUCCCCCUGCCCAAGCUCCCGGGCUCUCAGCUCGGACCCACUGCGCCAGGCCCCUGAGGGUCCAAGCUCGAGCUUGUAAUAAAGGCUCUUUUGUCUUUGCAUCGGACUUGGCUCCCUGGUGGUCUUCGGGGACAAUGUGAUGCGAUUGGGGCACAACAUCAGCAUUAUACUAUGUGGAGGGCAGACUUUCGUCACAGAAUGAAAUAGCAGCACUGCUGAUAAAAUGGUGCCUGUAAAUUGAAAGUUUCAAACAUCAAAUACAGUUUUUCUACUAGCAUAUGGAUUAUAAGAGCGUGUGUGUUCCAAGACGGGUUUACAUUUAAUUAUUGCAGUGUAAGGGAUAGAGAUCCUGGGUGGCUUUUUGUCUUUUGUUUGUUUGUUUCUUUUGUUUUUAGCCAGGGCUGGGUUUGAAAGCACCACCUCUGGCAUAUGGGGCUGGUGCUCUACUCCGUUGAGCCACAGGCACCACCCUUGUUUGUUUGUUUGUUUAUAGUCUCACUCUGAACCCUCGGUAGAGUGCUGUGGUCUCAUCCUUCACAGCAACCUCAAACUCCUGGGCUCAAACAAUCCUCUUGCCUCAGCCUCCCAAGUAGCUGGGACUAUAGACAACUACCACAAUGCCUGGAUAGUUUUUUCUAUUUUUAGUAGAGACGGUCCCACUCUUGCUCAGGCUGGUCUCAACAUUCUGACUUCAAACAAUCCACCUGCCUCAGCCUCCUAGAGUGCUAGGAUUACAGGCAUGAGCCACUAUGCCUCACAGCUUUUUUCUUUUGGUAUUGGUAAUAAGGCAUAUUUUAUCAGUGUGUUGUUUUUUGUUGUUGUUUUUGGAAAGUGUAGGGACUGAAAACAUGUAUAAUCUUAGGCCAUUUAUCUUGAUCCCUGUUGAACAGAUUCUCAGAAGUGAGAAUGCUAGCUUAGAAGGCAAUUGUUUCUGUGCUUUUUGUGGGCUUGACACGCUGCUUAUAAGUUUUUGCACUCCCGCCAAUAAUGUAUAAGUGGCUAUUUCCCCUCAGUCUCACCAUAAAUGUGUAUUGACAUCUGGAUUCUUGAUAGGCCUAGAACAAAUUACAUUCUUCUUUUAAUUAAUUUAUUUUUUUUUUUAAUGAGAAAGGGUCUCACUAUACUGUCAGGCUGGUCUUGAACACCUGGACUCAAAUGAUCCUCUUGCCUCAGCCUCCCAAGUAGCUGGAACUAUAGGUGCCGGCUACAAAUCACUUUCUUGAUCUAUACCUCAUUAUAAGAGAUAGAAAGUAUCCAGUGACUGGGCGGCACCUGUGGCUCAGUGGGUAGGGCGCUGGCCCUGUAUACCGAGGGUGGGCAGGUUCAAACCCAGCCCUGGCCAAACUGCAACAAAAAAAUAGCCAAGCAUUGUGGCGGGCGCCUGUAGUCCCAGCUACUUGGGAGAUGGCACUGUACCAAGGGCGAUAAAGUGAGACUCUGUCUCUAAAAUAAAAAAAAAGAGAAGUAUCCAGUGACAGAGAAAUAAUUGAACACUGCACAAGUUUUUGAGUGGACUUCUCUUGAUGUGUUAGCCCAGCUCACAGUCAGUAAUUUCCUUCCCUCCUCACAGCGCAGAGGUAGACAAAUUUAUAUUGCAUUAUCCCACUUCCCUCGCCAUAAACGACUGGAUCAGGGGAGAACACUUAACCUAACUAAGUAAGGUCAUCAGAUUCUCUCUAUAGGAACUGGAGAUUAGAACUGAGGCAUGGCCAGUGAUCUUUGAGUGGAUCUG
Molecule: long non-coding RNA, 8367 nt
Organism: Nycticebus coucang (slow loris)
Lineage: Eukaryota; Metazoa; Chordata; Mammalia; Primates; Lorisidae
Exons: 3
Source: RefSeq, a predicted model, not a curated record